GACGAACGCUGGCGGCGUGCUUAACACAUGCAAGUCGAGCGGAGCGGCGAACGGGUGAGUAACGCGUGAGUAACUGCCCCCCUCUCUGGGAUAACAGUUGGAAACGGCUGCUAAUACCUGAUAGUUGGGGAUGACUCGCGGCCUAUCAGCUUGUUGGUGGGGUAGUGGCCUACCAAGGCGACGACGGGUAGCCGGCCUGAGAGGGCGACCGGCACCCUUGGGCUGAGAUACGGACCAAAAUCCUACGGUAGGCAGUAGUGGGGAAUAUUGCGCAAUGGGGGGACCCCUGAUGCAGCAACGACGAGUGCGGGAUGACGGCUUUCGGGUUGUAAACUGCUUUCAGCCAUGACGCGGUAGUGGCAGAGGAAGCAACGGCUAACUACGUGCCAGCAGCCGCAGUAAUAC
Molecule: ribosomal RNA, 405 nt
Filed under: uncultured bacterium
Lineage: Bacteria
Description: partial 16S ribosomal RNA
Rfam family: Bacterial small subunit ribosomal RNA
Source: RNAcentral